UACGAAGGGGGCUAGCGUUGCUCGGAAUCACUGGGCGUAAAGGGUGCGUAGGCGGGUCUUUAAGUCAGAGGUGAAAUCCUGGAGCUCAACUCCAGAACUGCCUUUGAUACUGAGGAUCUUGAGUUCGGGAGAGGUGAGUGGAACUGCGAGUGUAGAGGUGAAAUUCGUAGAUAUUCGCAAGAACACCAGUGGCGAAGGCGGCUCACUGGCCCGAUACUGACGACUGAG
Molecule: ribosomal RNA, 228 nt
Filed under: uncultured bacterium
Lineage: Bacteria
Description: partial 16S ribosomal RNA
Rfam family: Bacterial small subunit ribosomal RNA
Source: RNAcentral